RNAcentral lists this ribosomal RNA (497 nucleotides) under uncultured bacterium. RNAcentral describes it as "partial 16S ribosomal RNA". It matches the Rfam family "Bacterial small subunit ribosomal RNA", at positions 28 to 507 of the family's 1533-position model. The record is from RNAcentral.
GAUGAACGCUGGCGGCGUGCCUAAUACAUGCAAGUCGAGCGAACGGACGAUAAGCUUGCUUCUCUGAUGUUAGCGGCUGACGGGUGAGUAACACGUGGAUAACCUACCUAUAAGACUUGGAUAACUUCGGGAAACCGGAGCUAAUACCGGAUAAUAUUUUGAACCGCAUGGUUCAAAAGUGAAAGACGGUCUUGCUGUCACUUAUAGAUGGAUCCGCGCUGCAUUAGCUAGUUGGUAAGGUAACGGCUUACCAAGGCAACGAUGCAUAGCCGACCUGAGAGGGUGAUCGGCCACACUGGAACUGAGACACGGUCCAGACUCCUACGGGAGGCAGCAGUAGGGAAUCUUCCGCAAUGGGCGAAAGCCUGACGGAGCAACGCCGCGUGAGUGAUGAAGGUCUUCGGAUCGUAAAACUCUGUUAUUAGGGAAGAAAAUAUGUGUAAGUAACUGUGCACAUCUUGACGGUACCUAAUCAGAAAGCCACGGCUAACUACGUG